This 447-nucleotide ribosomal RNA is filed under the name uncultured soil bacterium. RNAcentral's name for it is "bacterial SSU rRNA". It matches the Rfam family "Bacterial small subunit ribosomal RNA", at positions 26 to 518 of the family's 1533-position model. The record is from RNAcentral.
AGAACGAACGCUGGCGGCAUGCCUAACACAUGCAAGUCGAACGAGACCUUCGGGUCUAGUGGCGCACGGGUGCGUAACGCGUGGGAAUCUGCCCUUGGGUUCGGGAUAACAGUUGGAAACGACUGCUAAUACCGGAUGAUGACUUCGGUCCAAAGAUUUAUCGCCCAGGGAUGAGCCCCGCGUAGGAUUAGCUAGUUGGUGAGGUAAAGGCUCACCAAGGCGACGAUCCUUAGCUGGUCUGAGAGGAUGAUCAGCCACACUGGGACUGAGACACGGCCCAGACUCCUACGGGAGGCAGCAGUGGGGAAUAUUGGACAAUGGGCGAAAGCCUGAUCCAGCAAUGCCGCGUGAGUGAUGAAGGCCUUAGGUUGUAAAGCUCUUUACCGGGAUGAUAAUGACAGUACCGGAGAAGUAACGCCCCGGCUAACCGUCCGUGCCAGCAGCCGC